RNAcentral lists this ribosomal RNA (233 nucleotides) under uncultured bacterium. RNAcentral describes it as "partial 16S ribosomal RNA". It matches the Rfam family "Bacterial small subunit ribosomal RNA", at positions 103 to 334 of the family's 1533-position model. The record is from RNAcentral.
CGGGUGAGUAACGCGUGAGGAACCUGCCUCAAAGAGGGGGACAACAGUUGGAAACGACUGCUAAUACCGCAUAAGCCCACGGCUCGGCAUCGAGCAGAGGGAAAAGGAGUGAUCCGCUUUGAGAUGGCCUCGCGUCCGAUUAGCUGGUUGGUGAGGUAAUGGCCCACCAAGGCGACGAUCGGUAGCCGGACUGAGAGGUUGACCGGCCACAUUGGGACUGAGACACGGCCCAG